AAAUUGAAGAGUUUGAUCAUGGCUCAGAUUGAACGCUGGCGGCAGGCCUAACACAUGCAAGUCGAGCGGUAGCACAGAGAGCUUGCUCUCGGGUGACGAGCGGCGGACGGGUGAGUAAUGUCUGGGAAACUGCCUGAUGGAGGGGGAUAACUACUGGAAACGGUAGCUAAUACCGCAUAACGUCGCAAGACCAAAGUGGGGGACCUUCGGGCCUCAUGCCAUCAGAUGUGCCCAGAUGGGAUUAGCUAGUAGGUGGGGUAACGGCUCACCUAGGCGACGAUCCCUAGCUGGUCUGAGAGGAUGACCAGCCACACUGGAACUGAGACACGGUCCAGACUCCUACGGGAGGCAGCAGUGGGGAAUAUUGCACAAUGGGCGCAAGCCUGAUGCAGCCAUGCCGCGUGUGUGAAGAAGGCCUUCGGGUUGUAAAGCACUUUCAGCGGGGAGGAAGAAA
Molecule: ribosomal RNA, 454 nt
Filed under: Klebsiella pneumoniae
Lineage: Bacteria; Pseudomonadati; Pseudomonadota; Gammaproteobacteria; Enterobacterales; Enterobacteriaceae
Description: bacterial SSU rRNA
Rfam family: Bacterial small subunit ribosomal RNA
Source: RNAcentral